CAUCUAGACAAGUAAAAAAACAACAAGUCUAAAUUUUGCUCGCGUAUCGUGAAAAUCCGCACUAGUCGCAUGUCAAAUUGGCGCGAAAUUAUGAGUGUAGCAAAAUCAACCGUCACCAGCCCAGCGUAAUAAAAAGGAAUCGGAGUGUGUUUGACGACAAAAAAAGUCAAAAAAUGGGACCCAACUCCAAGCUCAUCCAAGCUGUCACAAGCAAGCUGGAAGUGUCGUAUACAACCGUUUCGACUAUCGACUUAUCAGCAAGUAACUCGAGGUUUCUAACCGUGACGAUUAGUAACAUAACUGGAAGAAACAAGGUCGAAGUUCACAAAGAAAUAUCUUGUUUGGCAGGCCGCCUAUUACUAUGGCUUCAAGAACGCCAUUUACAUCGUAACUGGGAUCAUUAAACAAGAAAAUUUUGCCUGAAUCUGUUGUCUUUUCGCAAGCAACACAAUUGUUCCGUUCUGUUUUAGCGACUGAAACGGCUAAAAACUGCUUUUUUUAAUCCGUGGUAGCAAAUAAAGUCUGUCCCAGAAAGUAUGGACGCAACCAAAAACCGCUGUCAUUUCGCAAUGGUUCAGAAUCUGUCAAUUUUUAUGGCUGCGUCCUGUUGUUUACAUUCUUCUCUAACCACUUGUGCAGUUGUUUAUUCGUUUUCAUUAGUUUGUUUCGAAAUGCGUGGACUUUCAGCAGAACAACGUUGAAAAAUUGUGUACAAAUGGUGCACAGAACGCGGACUGUCACUGAGAAAGAUAGCAAAAAUGGAAGGAGUAAGUGCAAAAGCCGUGCGAAAUGCAAUCAGGAAGUUCGGUGAGGAUAACACCUUUGAGGAUAAACCGAAAACGGGUAGAAAAAAAGGUCCUGCUAACCCUCAGUUGGAUAAACGUAUACUGAAGGCGUUCGAGCAAAAGAAGGAGGUUUCAGUCCGGGAUGUGGCAAAAAAGUGGUCACUUCGAAGUCAAAUGUUCCUCGUGCUAAAGAACGUUUGAAUCUUCGAACCUAUAAGAAGCAGAAACAACCAAAACGUACACCCUUAUUCCUGAUUACGACAUUUCGAAUUGAUUCGAUCGAAUCGAUCAAAUUCUAUUAUUGAUUUCGAUCGAAGAAAUCCGUUAUUCGAACAUCGCUCGUUUAAAAUUUCAACUCUAAUCUCAGUAACGUUUGACUCCAAAUAAAUCGCUUUCCGUAUCCAAGAUACGAGAUUUUCACGUGGCGGAAUCAACAUUAAAGGUAAAAUUUACAUCGAAACAACAAUUCGCGCAAAUGAUAGCGUUAUUGGAAACAAGACCGGAUGUUACAAAAGGAUUUUCGAAGGUGAACGUUGCGCCUUUCUGGAAUCCCUUGGCAACGGAAUUAAACAGUUUGGGACAGCCUGUCAGAGACACAACAGGGUGGAAAAAAGCAAGUUUUUAAAUUUCAAUUAUUUCAUUUAAUUAUAAUUCCUCACUUUUCUACAUUUUAGGUGUGGUGUGAUUACAAGUCGAACCUGAAGAGAAAACUGGCCCACAAUUCGAAAGAGCUGCGUGCCACGGGAGGCGCACCUAACAAAGUGAUAGAGAUUUCUGAAUUGGAGGAGCAAACUGUUGCUCUGACUGGUCUCAGAAACACAAUACAAGACAACGGAUAAUUCUAAUGACAAUGCGGAUGAGGAGACCACUUGUUCUAAACCAAAACGGUUGAAAAUAUCGACCCUGGAUUUGCUGGAACAGCAAGCUGCUGAACAAAAAAAAAUACCACGAAACGCUGGUAGACGCUCUUAACAAAAUUCAUAUCAAAAUGGAAGAUUAUGGAUAUAAUAUGAGAAGAAUCUACAAAACAUUGGAUAGCAUGGCUGAAACACAAAAAUUAAAACUCGAAGAGCAGCGACGCCACAAUAAAGCACUAGAAACAGCAUACAAAGAAAUAUUACAGCUAAAACGAGAAAUACUGGAAAUGCAAAUAAAUUAUAUAGA
This is a long non-coding RNA of Malaya genurostris, 1949 nucleotides long. RefSeq lists it as uncharacterized. The transcript is spliced from 3 exons. The record is from RefSeq and is a predicted model, not a curated record. NCBI's taxonomy places the organism in Eukaryota, Metazoa, Arthropoda, Insecta, Diptera, Culicidae.